UUAUAAUUUGACCGACACUCUCUCUGAAUUUAACAAGCCUAUCAAAGGAUUAAUUUCUCUUAUUAAUUACACCCAACAACUUUACUUUGUAAAUGGAAUCAUUGUUACCAUUUUUAUGAUUCCAAUCCAUUUUGUCCACUGCUAGAUGAGUUAUGCUGAGAUAAUAGGCAAUCUGAUUGGAUAAUGAUUGAAUUGAUAAUAAUAUACAUAUUUACAGCUUGGUUUUAUAUAGUAUUUACUGACAG
Molecule: unclassified non-coding RNA, 245 nt
Filed under: Hevea brasiliensis (rubber tree)
Lineage: Eukaryota; Viridiplantae; Streptophyta; Magnoliopsida; Malpighiales; Euphorbiaceae
Source: RNAcentral